This is an RNA transcript of Carya illinoinensis, 1852 nucleotides long. It is a transcript of the gene named LOB domain-containing protein 36-like, with no coding region annotated. The record is from RefSeq and is a predicted model, not a curated record. The transcript is spliced from 3 exons. NCBI's taxonomy places the organism in Eukaryota, Viridiplantae, Streptophyta, Magnoliopsida, Fagales, Juglandaceae.
AAAUAGUUUAUUGAUCCGACGGCCAUAACCACUCUGCUAAAAUCUCAACGGCAGACAAUAGAAAGCACAUAAAUUUUGACGUAGAGACCAUCGAAUCAUCUCUCUCCUUUUCUCUGUAAAAAGUUGUUUUGACUAUUUCUUUCUUUCCUUCUAUUUUCCUAUUUCGAUUUUUCUUUUAUUUUUUAUUUUUUAUUUUUUUUUUGUUCCCAAUGGGAUCAUCGUGAAACUCGAAGAUCGGAUCAACCGCUCUCUCGCUCUCAAACCCUAGACUGUAGAGCCAUCCCUUCCCCUCCCCUCCCCUCCUCCUCCCCAUCACUGUGAGUCUUGAGGUUUUCGGCCUCCAUUUUUUGAAGAGUUGCUUCAGGCUUCCGCACAAACGACGAAGUUCCGGUUAUUAGAGUCUAUGUUUUGUCGCAGGUUUCACAUGGCCUUGGGAUGCAACGAAAGGAAGAGAGAAAGAGAGAAGGGACCGAUACUACUGUAAUCCGAGGACGGAGUUUAGCAAUAUCUUAAACGUAAAUCCCCCUGAGAUUUUGAAAGACAAAAAUGUCGUCAUCGAACUCUCCCUGCGCAGCGUGCAAGUUUCUGAGGCGGAAGUGCACGCAAGAGUGCGUGUUCGCACCCUAUUUCCCACCGGACCAACCCCAAAAGUUCGCCAAUGUGCACAAGGUCUUCGGCGCCAGCAACGUCGCCAAGCUUCUCAACGAGCUCAACGCGGCGCAGCGCGAAGACGCCGUGAACUCGCUGGCGUACGAGGCCGAGGCUCGUCUUCGGGACCCAGUGUAUGGCUGCGUGGGCUUCAUCUCCAUUCUUCAGCACAGGUUGAAACAGGUCCAGACUGAUCUAUUUAAUGCCAAGAAGGAGCUUGCUUCCUAUAUUGGCCCUCAGGCUAUGCUCACUAUUCUUCAACCCCCGGCAUAUAUGACCCAACAGCAGCACCCUGGCAAUCCUUCGUCCUCGGCUGUUUUGCCCUACAACAUGUCGCCUAUGCUUGGGAUUCCCACUGGGGCUCCUACGCGUGGUGGGGCAUUGGUGAUUCGCGAGCCCCAGCCACAGCAUCACCAGCACCAGCUAUUUGAGGCACAGCAAUUGGCUGCAGCUGUGGCUGCCAGAGAGCAACAGGAGAUUUUACGGAGUUAUGAGCAGCAACAACAACUACAGCAGCACGCGCAGUCGCACCAGCACCAGCACCAGCCAGAACUCGUAAGGUUCAACAGUGGGUUCGACCCGGCUGCCGCAGCGGGAGGUUCGGUCACUGCUACUGGGUUCAAUCAGGUGAAUGCUGCUGCCGCUGCUAUGUCGCCUUCUUUGGCUCUGGGCACAUUUGAAAAUCCUUACGAGAUUCAACCACAGCAAGGGGAACAUCAUGGCCAUUCUCAUCACCAUCCGCUCCAGGCACAGCUCUUGCUCCAGCCACAACAAACACAUGCACACCAGCAGGGCCAGCAUACCCAGCCGCAGUCUAAGCCAGAAAGCGAGGAGGGUAGAAGUCUUGGUCCAUCUUGUUGAUAUUUUCUUUUCAGAAGCUCUUUAACCUUCCCGCUUUUUCAUUUAACUGAGUUUCAUUCUAGGUCGUAUCUGCCUACAAGUGAGAGAUCUAGAGAGAGGUUCCAAAGUCAAUAUUUUUUUGGUGGUUUCGAAGAAGACUUUCAGGAGAGAUACAUUUAUAAAUGCAAGAUCUGCAUUGAUCUUUGAGUACAGUCUUUUUUAUUUUUAUUUUUUGGUUAUAUAUUUAUUUUUUCCGGAUGAGCAGUGACGUUUAAUCUUUAUGUAAAUCGGAAUUUGGGAAGCUCCUCUUCAGUUUCUAGCAUUCGUUGCAAAUAAUAUUUAUAAUUCAUAGAACUUGAUGGUA